Molecule: unclassified non-coding RNA, 191 nt
Filed under: Glomus sp.
Lineage: Eukaryota; Fungi; Glomeromycota; Glomeromycetes; Glomerales; Glomeraceae
Description: partial contains 5.8S ribosomal RNA and internal transcribed spacer 2
Rfam family: 5.8S ribosomal RNA (bases 1-65)
Source: RNAcentral
GUGAAUCAUCGAAUCUUUGAACGCAAAUUGCACUCUCUUCGGAGAGUAUGCCUGUUUGAGGGUCAGCCUAUAAAAAAAUAGACAGAUUCGCUGUUUCGGGGUGACAUUCGUGGGAAACGGUGACAUCUUAACCCUUUGUGUUUUACGUCGCUUAAAAUUUUCUUUACUAUUAUACGAACGUUUCUAAUUUU